Molecule: non-coding RNA, 95 nt
Organism: Arachis ipaensis
Lineage: Eukaryota; Viridiplantae; Streptophyta; Magnoliopsida; Fabales; Fabaceae
Source: RefSeq, a predicted model, not a curated record
CAACCAUCUUCAUUGAGUUUUAAAGCUGAUAGGAAACGCCUUUUCAAUAUGAUUAAUGAAGUGCCCACAAUAUUUGAAGUUGUUACUGGUGCAGC